AGGCUGUCUGACUGCUGCAAGAUGUUUGUCAGAGCCCUACACCAUGACUAGGGGUCAUUGGUUCUUCACAAUCCCUACCUUGAAGAGGUAUUAUGGCCAGCCGUUACUUCCCGUUGAGAAAAGAUCCCUGCAAGCGUACUUGACUGGCUGUAUGCGUCUAAUACGUCUGCAAGCAGCAACUGAAGUGGGUGCUGCACAAUGUCAAUGAUCGAUGCACGUAAUCAUUACCCACAGCAGUGGUGUCGGUCAGUGGUGUAACUACCUUCCUCAACAAUCACCAGCUGCUGGCUUGUGACAGUUUUGACGAAAAUUAAUCGGUCUCUUUCAUUCCGUUAUCCCUUUGUCGACUCUGAGGAGAUGCUCGACAACCAUAUAAUUUGGUACUUCCCGUUUAGCCUAGUAUUUGCAGUAUUUGCUUCCUACACCAGCCACAGUGCUUUUCUUCCCACGUUCUUAUUUUUCCGCUGGACGGUUUGGGAUUAUCUUUUGUGUUACAUUCUUUCGUUUUCUGUUACAUCCUUUUCCUGUUCUUGUGUGUUAACGUUUCAGUGGAAUGGUGCAAUGCAUUUCCAACCAA
Molecule: long non-coding RNA, 577 nt
Organism: Sycon ciliatum
Lineage: Eukaryota; Metazoa; Porifera; Calcarea; Leucosolenida; Sycettidae
Exons: 3
Source: RefSeq, a predicted model, not a curated record